This 468-nucleotide ribosomal RNA is filed under the name uncultured bacterium. Its description in RNAcentral is "partial 16S ribosomal RNA". It matches the Rfam family "Bacterial small subunit ribosomal RNA", at positions 28 to 507 of the family's 1533-position model. The record is from RNAcentral.
GACGAACGCUGGCGGCGUGCUUAACACAUGCAAGUCGAACGGAAAGGCCCUGCUUUUGUGGGGUGCUCGAGUGGCGAACGGGUGAGUAACACGUGAGUAACCUGCCCUUGACUUUGGGAUAACUUCAGGCAACUGGGGCUAAUACCGGAUAGGAGCUCCUGCUGCAUGGUGGGGGUUGGAAAGUUUCGGCGGUUGGGGAUGGACUCGCGGCUUAUCAGCUUGUUGGUGGGGUAGUGGCUUACCAAGGCUUUGACGGGUAGCCGGCCUGAGAGGGUGACCGGCCACAGUGGGACUGAGAUGCGGCCCAGACUCCUACGGGAGGCAGCAGUGGGGAAUAUUGCACAAUGGGCGGAAGCCUGAUGCAGCAACGCCGCGUGCGGGAUGACGGCCUUCGGGUUGUAAACCGCUUUCGCCUGUGACGAAGCGUGAGUGACGGUAAUGGGUAAAGAAGCACCGGCUAACUACGUG